GCAGGCUUGGCCGAAUGUUUAAGCUGCCCGCUUUGUAAGCGGAUUAUCAUGGGGUCGAUUCCCAUCUGCU
Molecule: non-coding RNA, 70 nt
Organism: Culex pipiens (northern house mosquito)
Lineage: Eukaryota; Metazoa; Arthropoda; Insecta; Diptera; Culicidae
Source: Rfam